RNAcentral lists this ribosomal RNA (253 nucleotides) under uncultured bacterium. Its description in RNAcentral is "partial 16S ribosomal RNA". It matches the Rfam family "Bacterial small subunit ribosomal RNA", at positions 524 to 776 of the family's 1533-position model. The record is from RNAcentral.
GACAGAGGUGCCAAGCGUUAGGCGGAAUCACUGGGCUUAAAGCGUGUGUAGGCGGAUGCCUAAGUACCUUGUGAAAUCCCACGGCUCAACCGUGGAACUGCUUGGUAUACUGGGUGUCUUGAGCCAUCUAGGGGCUACCGGAACAAAUGGUGGAGCGGUGAAAUGCGUAGAUAUGUGGAGGAACACCGAUGGCGAAGGCAGCCCCCUGGGUCAAGAUUGACGCUCAUGCACGAAAGCGUGGGGAGCAAACAGG